UCUCAGUGUGGGAUUAUUUAAACAGCAAGUUGAUGUUGAAAAGGCAUGCCCCGAGAGCCAGCAGUAGCAGCAAGCUCAUCAUGAGGCAAAGACACAUUACUGGGGCUGUGGACUAGCCAAGAAGAUGUACUUGUUGCUGUAAAACAACAAAUUUGCACAGGAAGUCCUGAGUGAUGUCUUUCCUGUAAGUGAUGCAUGUCACCAUGUACUACCAACGCUGCAUAGUUCAGUUUUCCAUGGAACACUUACAAGGUGAAGUGCCCAUCUUUGAAGUAACAGCAGCAGGAUCCAUCCUGAUUUGGCUGAAGAGGAAAUUCAAACAUUCAUUUCUGCUGUUAUAAAUCAGUGACUCAGCAGGAGUUCAUUUUUUUCCAACAUUCAUGAAAAAAAAAAUACAACUCUCAUUCUGCCCUCCUUCAUAAAAAUCAAAAUGCAUCUCCUCACAGAGGAAAUUAGUUCCACUGAUUUUGCUUUUUCCCAGGUCAGCUAAAAAGAAAACAAAUUAAAUAUAUUCUAAUUUCAAUGUGAUUUUAUUUUUUUCUUGCUUUGACCACAGAAAGAACUGUCCAGUUUCCAUCUAUAUCAUUGGACAAACAUGUUUGAGGAAGCUAUUUUCUGUCCUUCAAAAUACGCUUUAGGAAUUUGGAGGAAACACCUGAUUGUUUUAUUUUUCCUAAUAAGUUUUUCUAUUCUCUUCUAUAAAAUGCACAAUUAUCUCUCAUUCACCGAAUGAAAGAGUAAGAGAUUAUCUUUCUGUAAAAGCUUUCUACAAAAUCUUUAGAGGUUUACUGCAGAUCUACAAAAUUUUUAGAGGUUUACUGCAGAUUUAAUUUAUUGGCUUACUAUUAAUAUAAUUAGAAAGAAAAUUGAAUUUGAACAUAAUGAAAAUAAUGCACAAGCUUUCAAAAUAACUUGGCUGAUACUAUGUUUUAAAAGAACAGGUUAUACAUCUGCAGACUUUCAGUGUAGUGCUACGUUUCAGAUAUGUAUGCAAACAACUGUGACUUUGAAUUCACAAAAUAUUUUUGCGGUUUCAAAUGAUUUUAAAACUUUGUUGAAAUGUUUAGGAAUAAGCAUGCACCUGCACAUUUCCAAUAUCCUCUAAGAAAGUUCUGAUUGUGUGAUUCAUACCAGAUAUUUACAUGUUAAGAGAGUGAGGAUGUGCUUUCUUGAAGACCUAAAAAUUUAUUAGCCUUUUUGGGGACAACUGGCAAGCAUCAGAGAAGAAUUUGGCUGUAAAAAUAAUUUUAAAAAACUACAUACAGAAAUGUGUUUAUCAUGAUGGUCACCAGCAAGUAAUCUAAAUUCAAUGAUGCUGUUUUAAUUCGAUAAAUUUAAAAGCUCCAAGACCCCAUAUUCACAUCCAUUCCUGCCUGCAGUAUGCAACUUCCUACUGAGACAAAGGAUACCAUUUUUCAACACAAAAAACUGACACUAAAUGGUAGAUGAUAUGCCACAAAUAGUAGUGGGACUUCUUUCAAAUUAUUGCCUUGCUGAAUACUUAGAAUAUGCUUAGACAUUUUUCUGGCCUGGGAUAUGCAGACAAUUGCAUUAAACAUUUUAAGCUUACAUAAAGCCUCCAAAAAUAUGGGGUUUAUCUUGACACUUCUGUGAUUAACAGUCUUAAAUAGAAAGAAAUAAUAACUCAGAUGUGUCCUGCACAUUGCCACAUUUCAGAGAAGGUAUUUCCCAUCAUGAACAACUUACAAAAUGGUCUCUGGCUCUAUCAUUACUUUUGGUUUAUGACAGGAUUUAAUUAUUUACCUUCUUGGUUUUGUUAGAGGAGGGACAAGAGGAUUUUAUUGCAAGCAGUGAUCUUCUCCAAGAGAUAUAUUUGCUUUCCUUUAUUACUUCAUGCAGAAGAGAAGUUUCCUAUAGUCCCACUUACAGUAAACAGAACAUAGAUCACUACAAAUUCAAAAUGGGUUGCAUAUGACUGGAUGUCCAAUCCACCAAACUCUUGCUUGUGAAAGUAACCCCAUAAUUUUCAAAAUAUUACAAGAGAAGGCCUGUAUUAAUGCAUUCAGUGAACGACUGUACAUGUACUGUGUAUGUUUUGGAUGGUGAGUUCAUUUUUCCUUCUAUUAUAUCACUCUUCAGCGAAACUCAGAGCUUUACAUUUCCCUAUUCUAAAAGUGGAGGAAGUCUGCAUUCAAAAAUUCCCACGUUGUAUGCAGGAGGAGGAAUCUCCAGAACAGUUCAGAGUGUAAUUCCCUGAAGUAAGUGUAAUUACCAUAUGUCAUGCAAUUUUCCUGUCUCAAUUUUUAAAGUGUUUUUUUAGCUUUAGGUAACUGACAAAAAAAGCUAAAUACCAGUAGCCAUUUGACUGGGUAUAACAGAUUUGCCACUAAUUUUUCCAUUCUGAGAUUUAUCUAAUUUAUUCACCAUUAAGUAACUUAAACUUUCAAAGAAAAAGCUUUUGUUUUUAUCUUCCUCUGACAAUACACUGCUGUUAUGAAUUUUCAUUAUAGAAAUACAUACUGUUUUUACUAGUAUAAUUAUUAAAUACACUAAAAAGGAGAAACAGGGUGGGGUCAGAUUUUAAAAACAUUUAAGCACUAAAUGAUGCAGCAUGUUUGUAGUAAGAUUUUUAGAAGAUCCUACAAGUUUAACCUACCAUUGACUUCAAUAAAGGCCAAGCUCUGAGGUAUUUUCAAAAAUAUUUAGUAUUUAGUUAAAUUAUCACAGGCUUGAAUACCUCUAAAAUCUUGCCCUUAAUAAUUUUUAUUUUUCCUUCCAACAGUUAGCAUUGUCAGGGAUUUCAAGAUUUAAGUUAACAAAUAAUAUAUAUACAAAUAAUAUAUAUACAAAAAUCUACUUCAGAUACUUGAAUUUAACAUUAUUCAUAGCGACAUUUAUCAAUGCUUGUAUCUUUCCUAUCCCAUAUGUUGUCUGUUUUCUGUUGACAGGUAGGUGUAUGUUUUGGAUGGUGAGUUCAUUUUUCCUUCUAUUAUAUCACUCUUCAGCGAAACUUAGAGCUUUACAUUUCCCUAUUCUAAAAGUGGAGGAAGUCUGCAUUCCAAAAACAAGAAAAGAAUGUUCAGUGCAAUGUGCUUUGACACAUAAUGGACUUGCUGCAAUCAUUUCUGAACGUUGCAGUUCUCCAAAAUAUUCUUUAACCGAACAAAUAGGCAUCAUUACUGUAGAAAUGCCUCAGCAAGGACAAAACACACACUUGAAAGAAAGAUAUUUGCACAGUGAUACUCUUCUGUGCAUAGUUUUGUAAUCACUUGAAAGCCUCCUAAUCAAUAUCCACUGUCAUUUGUCAUCAUUCAGUCUGAUUUUCUAAUCUUACCCCACUAAACCCCCAAAAUCAAUGGCCCGCAACACAAAACCUCACAUCCAAAACCCAAAAGUAAACAAAAGAAAUUAUUAAAACUGAAGGGUUUUAUUCAAUUUUCCCACUCCUAAAUUUUUUGUGAUUUAUUUUUUAUACUAGAAAUCAGUGCAUGAAAAGACAUCAAAUAAAGCUCACACUGGUUUUAUCAUUCUCUGAAACAAUGCUAUUUUCCAUAUUAUGUUCUCUCCAUUCAGCAAGCAGUAGAAAGAGAAUCUAGCUUAAGGCACAGGUGGGAAAUAAAAUAACAUAUUUAUCAUAAAACCAGUAAACACUAAUAUUCAUUCAACAUUGUAGUUUGAAAGAAGCAUCAAGACCACCACUUAGGAGUUUGUAAAGAGUCUUUAUGAAAUUGUUUGUUCUGCAGUCUACAAGAACUUUGCAGCUGAAAGAUACUGUAAUGGUAGAAAUCAGAUCAAAGCAAAAUUUCAUGUUAUGCUGUGUUAACACUUCCUUUGUGGCCUUGCCAAUGCUUGCCAAAUAUAAGCUUUUAUUUAAAAAAAACAAUUACAUCCACUAAGCCUUCUGGUACAAUUGCCUUGAUUUUCUCAGUCUACAAACAGGUUUUUUGAGCCUAGAGAAG
Molecule: long non-coding RNA, 3920 nt
Organism: Columba livia (rock pigeon)
Lineage: Eukaryota; Metazoa; Chordata; Aves; Columbiformes; Columbidae
Exons: 3
Source: RefSeq, a predicted model, not a curated record